This 78-nucleotide transfer RNA is filed under the name Shimazuella soli. RNAcentral describes it as "Shimazuella sp. AN120528 tRNA-Pro". It matches the Rfam family "tRNA". Rfam says of the family: Transfer RNA (tRNA) molecules are approximately 80 nucleotides in length. RNAcentral also lists the same sequence under 3 other names. The record is from RNAcentral. Lineage: Bacteria; Bacillati; Bacillota; Bacilli; Caryophanales; Thermoactinomycetaceae.
CGGGGUGUAGCUCAGUUUGGCCAGAGCACUCGCUUUGGGAGCGAGGGGUCGCAGGUUCGAAUCCUGUCACCCCGACCA